AACUCCGAUUUUUUUUUUUUUUUACCAAACGAAAGUGUUAGCCAAGUCACGUGCUGUGUGGCCUGCACGCGCCAAGUCUUUG
Molecule: non-coding RNA, 82 nt
Organism: Biomphalaria pfeifferi
Lineage: Eukaryota; Metazoa; Mollusca; Gastropoda; Planorbidae
Source: the annotation of a GenBank genome assembly